RNAcentral lists this long non-coding RNA (1302 nucleotides) under Elaeis guineensis (African oil palm). RNAcentral's name for it is "long non-coding RNA (EGUI_LNC060148)". Lineage: Eukaryota; Viridiplantae; Streptophyta; Magnoliopsida; Arecales; Arecaceae. The record is from RNAcentral.
UACUAUAUUUAGUUAAUUGUGUACCAUGCUAAUUUAGCUGUGUACCAUAGUUAACUGUAUACCAUAUUAAUUUAACUAUAUAUAGUGUUCAUUUAACUAUAUGCAGUAUUCAUUUAACUAUAUAUCAUAUUAAUUUAACUGUGUACAAUGGUAAAUUAACUAUGUACUAUGUUAAUUAAACUGUGUAUCAUAGUUAGUUAACUAUAUACUAUAUUAAUUUAACGAUCGUUCUAUUUGAUAAACAAGUAAUCAUGAAUAGGAUAGUAAUAGUACAGACAUAGAUGGCAAGAAUUUGGUGCUUCGCUGCCUCCCCGGCCUACCAUCGUCGGUGUAGCCGAGAUCUGAAUUCUCUCAUUCCCAACCGAACAGUAAUCCCCAGCCACCCUCUUUCCUCCAUCUUGAUCGGACAUUCACGAGUUCUCUAAACUCAUGGUCGCUGUCGUGACCACCACUAAUGAUGGCGAUGGCGAUGGCGAUGGCCCUCCACCCUCAUCUCUCUCCUUAGAAAAACCAACACGAUGGCGAUGGUGAUGGCGAUGGAGGUUAACAUGAUGCUCGAUGAUCAAAAAUUAAUUCAGUUAAAUAACUUGAUUAAUGAUACAAUUGACUCCACAGAAAAUUAAUAGAUCAAAUCUGAUGGUAUUUGGAUCUGCUCAAGUUGGGUGCCGGUAUGUUGUUUGAUGACUGUGAAUCAGGACUCUUCAUAAAGCUCGAUCAAAAUCAUUGUAAGAAGAUCAUUUACUAAAUCAAUCUUAGAGAGACAAAUCAUUUUAAAACAAUAAUUCUAGAGAAAAAAAUUUUUAGAAAGAGAAAUUGGGGUUCAGACAAAUCAAUCUUCUCUCUCUUCUUUUUUUCUUCUUUUUUUCAUUUUUCUUUCUUUUUUUUUCUUUUUCUUCUUCUUCCCGUGGCUUCUUUUUGGUGGAAUAGGAGAUUGUGAGGUCCCUUUUUGUUUCUCGAACUGUGGGCCAUGGCUGGUGGCCUAUGGCCAGUGGCAAAUAGGGCUGCAAUGGCACAACCCAGAGAACCCAAAUUGGUAGUCGGCGGUGACCACCGAUAUCGAAAAAUCGAAAGAAAAGGGGCAGAAUAAGGAAAAAAAAUAGGGAUAGAUUUUGAGGAUGAUUUCCAACAAAAUCGAUGGUCGACAGUAAGGCCUAGGGCCAAGGGGAAAAAGGAAAGAGGAAGAGGAAGAAGGGAGGGGGCUUACCUCGAGGUCCAGCGGUGUCUCUGGCGAGGAUUUGAGGCAGACACAAUGAAAGCAUCCGCAGCUUCAACGGAAGAAAUCAAAGAGAAAGAAGAGAGAGG